This 538-nucleotide ribosomal RNA is filed under the name uncultured bacterium. Its description in RNAcentral is "bacterial SSU rRNA". It matches the Rfam family "Bacterial small subunit ribosomal RNA", at positions 28 to 601 of the family's 1533-position model. The record is from RNAcentral.
AACGAACGCUGGCGGCAUGCCUAACACAUGCAAGUCGAACGGGAUCCUGGCUUCGGUCAGGUGAGAGUGGCGGACGGGUGAGUAACGCGUGGGAACCUGCCCAGUGGUGGGGGAUAACUGCGGGAAACUGCAGCUAAUACCGCAUGAGCCCGAGAGGGGAAAGAUUUAUCGCCAUUGGAGGGGCCCGCGUUCGAUUAGGUAGUUGGUGGGGCUAAUGGCCUACCAAGCCGACGAUCGAUAGCUGGUCUGAGAGGAUGAUCAGCCACACUGGGACUGAGAUACGGCCCAGACUCCUACGGGAGGCAGCAGUGGGGAAUAUUGGACAAUGGGGGCAACCCUGAUCCAGCAAUGCCGCGUGAGUGAUGAAGGCCUCGGGUUGUAAAGCUCUUUUGCCAGGGACGAUGAUGACGGUACCUGGAGAAUAAGCCCCGGCUAACUUCGUGCCAGCAGCCGCGGUAAUACGAAGGGGGUCAAGCGUUGUUCGGAAUUACUGGGCGUAAAGGGCGCGUAGGCGGCUUAUCAAGUCAGGCGUGAAAUU